AUUUUAAAGGGCUGCUUUUAGAUAUUAUUUUUUUAAAAAUUUAGUGUCAGAAGCGCCUUGAGAAACUGCAAGUGAGAGAAUUGGCCGUCUGCAAGGAUGUUGUCCAGGGGAUGCCCCGAUAUGUUUCCAUCCUGUGGGAAGCUUCUCUCAUGUCCCUGCAUGAGAAGCUGGAGCUGACAGAUUGGAGCUCACCCCACUCCCCGCAUUCGAACCGCCGACCUUUCAGCCAUCAGUCUUGCCGGCACAAGGGUUUAGCCCAUUGCGCCACCGGGGGCUCCUGUUAUUUAAUUAUAACAUAUAUGAAUAAGCUACUGUCAUAACCACUAGAGAUGGUUCAAUUCAGUAUUACAUGCAGUCACCAAGACUGGAACAUUAGCAGCCUUAAUUUUUUAUAUGAGAGUUAAUGCCCCUUCUCUCUGUCACAUACCAAAGAAAAUAUUAGUGAUGUGUUAAUGAAGCUCAAGAGAGAGGUUGGAUCGUGGAAUAAAAAAUAUGAGAAGCAAAAUAUCUACUGCUAUAGCUAAGUAGUACAGCAGAAUUUGUUAUGUGGAUGUAUCAUCAUUUGUAACUGCCAUUGAGCUUUGCUGGGAUAUUGCAUUGUUUGAUGUUUAUUCAAUACUACACUAUAAGCAGGUUGAGUGUCUCUUAUCCAAAAAGCUUGGGACAACAAGUGUGACGUAUUUCAGAUUUUGGAAUACUUGCAUGUACGUAAUGUGACCUCCUGGAGAUGGGACCUCAGUCUAAACCCAACAUUCAUUUAUGUAUCAUAGACACCUUAUCUGAAUGGCCUGGCGGUCAUUUUGUACAAAAUAUGCCCUUUUAAUAAUAUUGUGAAUGAAACAAAGUUUGUGUGCCUUGAACCACCAGAAAACAAAGGUUUCACUCAGCCAUCCAUGGGGACAAUUUCAGAAUUUGGAAUAUUCCACAUUUCCGAAGCCGGAUAAGGGAUACUCAGCCUGUAUGGCCAUUUUGUUGAUUUUGUGUUUCUAUAGCAUGCAUCUCAUGGCAAACUUUAUGUAUAAUUAAGUAAUUUAUUAUUGUUAUACUCUUCUUUUGUCGGGGACCUUUUUUGAAGUGUUAUAAUAUGUUAGAAACUUUAUUUAAACCAGUGUUUUGGGGGGGGGGGGGUUGGCCCCGGAAACCAGCUGCUCUCGGGUGCCAUAUGCCCUCUAACAAAGCUGGGACAGGGCUGCUUUCUGUUAUAUUGUGUGGUGCAUGUGAUAGCUUUUCUGUUAAUUCUUAUUUAAUGCAUCCGAACACUCAGAAAGCACUUAAGAUUUUUUAAAAGGAAUGCACACAUUGGUGUAGUUCAGGGACAUUCAGGUCAUUUAUGUAAAAUGAUCAUUUAUGUAAAAUGAUGAGAUCCUUUUCAACAGGGGGCAAAAUCUAUAAUAAUAAUACAAUAAUAAAACUUUUAUUUUUAAUCCGCCCUCUCUCCCCAGAGGGACUCAGGGCGGUUUACAGAAAUAACAAAAGUGGCAAACAUAAACAACAAUCAAAGCAGAACAUGAAAUCAAAUAACUCAAUAUAAGUUAUAAACAACUGAAGUAAGGGUUCGACAAAAUAAACAUGAGUACAGAGUUAAACUCAUUUACAACACUAUACAUUAAAAGCACAAUUUAAAACAAUGCGUUAAAAGCACAAUCUGUCUCCCCUAUGCCCAGGUGCUCUCUUUAGCAGCACACAUCCGGCAUCCGAAUUCCACCCUUAAAAAAUACGUUGCCGGAUGAGGAAGGACCAAGGUGAAAGGCCAAGGUAUUUUCUCCCAGGAGGAAAAGGAAGAGUGUGGCUCAGAUGAGGCACCAACAGAAGGCUUCAGGAAGGAAGGCAGUGGUACUUCAUUAAGGACAUUCCCAUUAAGUUCUAAAAGCAUGGUGAAUAAGAGAUUCGCUGAAAAAUUUUGAUGGUGACAGGAUCUGCACAGAAGAGUUGUGAUUCUUGACAUAAAGAGGAUUGACUGCUCCCUUUCUAUGCCCAAAACUUGGCAAAUGAAGACUGGCAAAUUAAUCUUCAGUAUUAAGAAUGGGAAGGUGUCUAUCGAUGCACCUGAACAUAGCAGAUAGGGUCAUGGAUUUUGCACAAGUUACACCGGACCCAUAUUUUGCUCCCAGCACCCUACUUCUGCCCCAAAUCUGGCACCUAAAACAAAUGCUUCCUGCUGGCUAAUGGAAGAGCUGGCCUGUCAGGUGUUCAGAGCUUUAAAAAAAAAUCAACAGCCAACACAAUGUACGUGUUCAUUCAAAAUGACCCACAGGAAUGUACAAAGCUAUGGAUGGCCAGUUUGGGACAAGAGUCGUGAGAAGCACAAACUACAACCUUGCCGCACGAAGGAGGAAAAUGAGAAGCAAUUAUAAAUGACGAGAAUGUUUGCUGAACUCUUGGAAGUCACCAAACAAGCCAGUUGCACAAAGGGAGAGAUCACUGACAGCGAAGAACAGAACAGCCUUGGUGGCUUUCAAGGUCUCCAGUAAUGGAUAGUGACGCCAUCUAAAUGGAUUUUGAAAACACACUAUGGAAAUGGAACUCUUAUGUGUCUACGUUUCAUGCUUUUGUUUUGAAUGUCAGCUUAUUGUAUUUUGUUUCUGUACUUGUCAGGAGAGAAAAGAAAAAAAAAAACAGGCUGAGCUUCUGGACCAAA
Molecule: non-coding RNA, 2638 nt
Organism: Anolis sagrei ordinatus
Lineage: Eukaryota; Metazoa; Chordata; Lepidosauria; Squamata; Anolidae
Source: RefSeq, a predicted model, not a curated record